Molecule: small nucleolar RNA, 133 nt
Filed under: Choloepus hoffmanni (Hoffmann's two-fingered sloth)
Lineage: Eukaryota; Metazoa; Chordata; Mammalia; Pilosa; Megalonychidae
Description: Small nucleolar RNA U109 (ENSCHOG00000015587.1)
Rfam family: Small nucleolar RNA U109
Source: RNAcentral
UUGCAUGUGGAAAUGUCUGUUCCAGAAUUUAUACAGCAUCAAAUAUCCAUAACAUGCUACAUUAAAAAAGGAGUUCUCAGGGCUGCCAAUCUUUAUAGAUGAGAUUGAAUGGCAGUAUAUUUCUCCUACAUUA